Non-coding RNA from Ictidomys tridecemlineatus (thirteen-lined ground squirrel), 2181 nucleotides. The record is from RefSeq and is a predicted model, not a curated record. NCBI's taxonomy places the organism in Eukaryota, Metazoa, Chordata, Mammalia, Rodentia, Sciuridae.
GCCAUGGUGGAAGAGUAUGGCAGAGGAAAGUUGCUUCGGGACAUGGCCACCAGGAAACACAGAGAGACUAAGCUCAGUUUACCAAAUAUAUACCCCAAAGACACACUCCCAAUUACCCAAUUCCUCCAGCUGUGCCCUACCAGCCUGCAGUUACUACUCAGCUAAUCCCUGUCAGGGGAUUGAUUCACUGUUUGGGUUAAGACUAUCUGAGCCUAAUCAUUUCAAUUCUAAACUUUGUUUAUUGUCCCACACAUGAGCGUUUGAUGACACCUAAUAUCUAAACCAUAGCAAUAUCUGACUCAUGCCUACAUCCCUCACCCUCACCACUUUUUGAGCACUGCCCCAAUUCCAAUUGACAGUACCUGCAUUUCUUUGCCUAUGAGUUUUCCCUAGCAAACAGAGCCUACUUAGCCUACGUGAGCACAGAUUGAAGUUCAAAUUCUCUUCCUGGAAUCUCUUCAACUGGUAAUUCACAAUAAAUAAUAGAUGUAUACAGUAUAGCAUAAUGGUGUGCCCAGAGAUUAUAUCCCUAUCCUCCAAAAUCUGAAUGUUAUUUUACAUGGUAAAAGAAACUUUGAAGUUAUAAGUAAGUGAUGAUGUUAAUAUGGAAGACUGUCCUGCAUUGUUCAGAUGGCCUUAAUAUUAUUACAUGGGUCCUUCUAAGUGAAAGAAGGAGAUCAUGGUCAAAUUGAAGGAUGCUUUGCUGCUGGCUUUGCAGGUAGUGGAAGGGGACCCCUGACACAAAAUGCAGGUGGUCUCUAGAAACUGAGAAGACCAUGAAGUAUUCUCCUGCAGGGCCUUCAGUGGCAGCCCCAUAGUCACAUAGAUCAUAGCUCAGUAUGAUCCAUUGUAGACUUCAGACCUCCAGAACUGCAAAGUAAUAAAUGUGUUAUUUUAAACCACAAUGUGUUAUUGUAAACCACAUUGGUAAGAGUUUGUUACAGAAGAAUGAUGAACCUAAUAGAUUUUGAGUGGGAUACCUGAGGCAUGUGUUAAAUAUUAGCUUUUACUGUCUUUAGAUAGACAUUUCAUGCCUAAUCUAUACCUAGAAAACAAACCAAUGAUUAGUUGCCUUCCCUUUCCUGUCUGAUGUUUUCAUUUCCGUACUGUGUUGAAAAUAUCUCCAAAUAAACAAUUUAUACUAAAGUCCUCAAAUUGGAGCUCACUUCUGGGGACCUCAAUAUAAAAAAGAACUUGGGAUACCUUUAGUGAUAGAAUAAUGUAGGUGUUUGUCAAAUUCUUUAAGAUUGAAUUGGAAAAGAGAUAUUUAUAUUUAUAGCAAGUUUCAGUUCCAGAGAUGCAGUGAUCUGCUAAAGUGGGGUAGAAGUCUAAAACUUGGGUAGUUCCAGUAUGUAGUGCUUAUUUUUCUUAUAAAACUUUAAAAGAGAGUUUUAUGCAUAUCAGGGUGGGUCUUCAGUAUUUAGAAUAAGACUCUAUAAUCCAGAUCUCUGCUUAUUGUCUCCAAAAUUGAAUCUUAGGGUCUCCCCUGCCACCAGAGUCUAUCAAUCUAAGAAGGAACCUGUAAGCACAUUUUCCAGAUUGGCUCACUUUAUCCCAUAAUUUCUCAAUCUUGUGUUAUUGACAUUUGGAACUGGAUAAUUCUUUGUUGUGAGGUUUGUCCUGUGCAUUAUUGGAUAGUUAGCAACAUUCCUCUCUUCUCUUCCAGUUGCUCAGAUCAUCCUCACCCGAGUUGUGAUAAACAAAAAUAUUUUCUGACAUUUGAGAGUCACCCCUCUAUCUACCUCUUCCCAGAAGUCUGGAAGUUAGGAUUCAUCAUGUCACAGCUUCUGAAAACACACCAAGAUUAAAGACAGAGGCCCUUCCCUCUUCUGUUGAGGAAAUGUAUCCUGUCUCUCAUUUUCUCCAUAACCUCAGAUAAGUACUUAUUGUUUUCAUGAUAAUAAGCAGUCUCAUCUUACUGUGACAUGAUGUUUGUGAGGGGGCCGGAGUUUAAGAUCUUUUACAUAAAAGAAGUUUCAUAAUCACAAGCUGUGAAAAGGGAGAGAAUGUCUACCUCCCAUAGGUACUUUUGCCAUGAAUUUCCUGACCUUGAUUUGAUUAAAACCUCAACCUAAAGAUUGCAACAAUUUAAAUGUCUUUAGAGUUUAAUUGUUCAUUUCACUUUGAAAAAAAAAAAAGACUCAAGGUGGGGCAAGAUGGGUGGCAGAACGGAAGGAGAAG